Molecule: transfer RNA, 69 nt
Filed under: Bos taurus (domestic cattle)
Lineage: Eukaryota; Metazoa; Chordata; Mammalia; Artiodactyla; Bovidae
Also listed under: 1 other name
Rfam family: tRNA
About the family: Transfer RNA (tRNA) molecules are approximately 80 nucleotides in length. Their secondary structure includes four short double-helical elements and three loops (D, anti-codon, and T loops).
Source: Rfam by way of RNAcentral
CCUGAUAGCUCAAUUGGUAAAGAAUCUGCCUGCCAUGCAGGAGACCCUGGUUUGAUCCCUGGGUCAGGA